This 511-nucleotide ribosomal RNA is filed under the name Lactobacillus sp. Its description in RNAcentral is "bacterial SSU rRNA". It matches the Rfam family "Bacterial small subunit ribosomal RNA", at positions 88 to 586 of the family's 1533-position model. The record is from RNAcentral. Lineage: Bacteria; Bacillati; Bacillota; Bacilli; Lactobacillales; Lactobacillaceae.
UUGGUGAGUGGCGGACGGGUGAGUAACACGUGGGUAACCUGCCCAAAAGUGGGGGAUAACAUUUGGAAACAAGUGCUAAUACCGCAUAACAACUACUUUCACAUGAUCGUAGCUUGAAAGAUGGCUCUGCUAUCGCUUUUGGAUGGACCCGCGGCGUAUUAGCUAGUUGGUGAGGUAAUAGCUCACCAAGGCAAUGAUACGUAGCCGACCUGAGAGGGUAAUCGGCCACAUUGGGACUGAGACACGGCCCAAACUCCUACGGGAGGCAGCAGUAGGGAAUCUUCCACAAUGGGCGAAAGCCUGAUGGAGCAAUGCCGCGUGAGUGAAGAAGGUUUUCGGAUCGUAAAACUCUGUUGUUGAAGAAGAACAUGCGUGAGAGUAACUGUUCACGUACUGACGGUAUUCAACCAGAAAGCCACGGCUAACUACGUGCCAGCAGCCGCGGUAAUACGUAGGUGGCAAGCGUUGUCCGGAUUUAUUGGGCGUAAAGAGAAUGUAGGCGGUUUAUUAA